UGACUUUCCCCANACUUAGGAUGGCCUGUC
This 30-nucleotide non-coding RNA is filed under the name Rattus norvegicus (Norway rat). The record is from RNAcentral. Lineage: Eukaryota; Metazoa; Chordata; Mammalia; Rodentia; Muridae.